This 402-nucleotide ribosomal RNA is filed under the name uncultured bacterium. RNAcentral's name for it is "partial 16S ribosomal RNA". It matches the Rfam family "Bacterial small subunit ribosomal RNA", at positions 338 to 737 of the family's 1533-position model. The record is from RNAcentral.
CCUACGGGAGGCAGCAGUGAGGAAUAUUGGUCAAUGGACGAGAGUCUGAACCAGCCAAGUAGCGUGAAGGAUGACUGCCCUAUGGGUUGUAAACUUCUUUUAUAUGGGAAUAAAAUGUUCCACGUGUGGGAUUUUGUAUGUACCAUAUGAAUAAGGAUCGGCUAACUCCGUGCCAGCAGCCGCGGUAAUACGGAGGAUCCGAGCGUUAUCCGGAUUUAUCGGGUUUAAAGGGGGCGUAGGUGGAUUGUUAAGUCAGUUGUGAAAGUUUGAGGCUCAACCGCAAAAUUGCAGUUGAAACUGGCAGUAUUGAGGUCAGUAGAGGUAGGCGGAAUGCAUGGUGUAGCGGUGAAAUGCUUAGAUAUCACACAGAACUCCGAUUGCGAAGGCAGCUGACUGGACUGC